Carcharodon carcharias (great white shark) is the source of this 2126-nucleotide long non-coding RNA. RefSeq lists it as uncharacterized. The record is from RefSeq and is a predicted model, not a curated record. Lineage: Eukaryota; Metazoa; Chordata; Chondrichthyes; Lamniformes; Lamnidae. The transcript is spliced from 2 exons.
CUGGGAGUGAAGCAUGCGCAGGGUGGGUAAUGGCGAUGAAGAGACGUUUCUUUCUCCGAUCCGAAAUCGGGGAUUAGAAGGGGAGGAUUUGCAGUCGGGAAACUGAAACCAAACCUCGCAUCAGGACCUGAUGGAGUCGCCAAUUUAUCGUAACCUGAAUAUCAUCGGAUUUUGAAUGUGGAAGGAAAAAGCACCAUUCACAGUGGGGAGAAACCGUACACUUGUCCUGUGUUUGAAUGAGGUUUCAGCCGGUCAUCUGAUUUGUCAAAACAUAAAUGUGAUCACAACGGGGAUAAACCACGGCUGUGGGAAGGGAUUUAGAUCCCCCUCUGGAAACCCAUCGGUGCAGUCAGAUUGGGGAGAGUCCGUUCACCUGCUCCAUCUGUGGGAAGUGAUUCACUUAGUUAUCCCACCUGCUGAGACCACCAGCGAGUUCACACUGGGGAGGCCCCUUUUAAAUAUCUAGACUGUGCGAAGUGCUGUAAAAGUUUUGGGGAUGUGAUGUCCAAUCAACGUGUUCACACUGACGAGAGACCGUUUAGGUGCUCUCACUGUGGGACUGGGUUCAGGCAAUCAUCUGACCUCAAUGUACACCACCGAAUUCACACUGGGGAGAGGCCGUUCACCUGCUCCCAGUGUGGAAAGAGAUUCACUCAGUUAACCAACCUGCGGACACACAAGCGAGUUCACAGUGGGGAGAGGCCGUUCACUUGUUCCGAUUGUGGGAAGGGAUUCACUCAAUCAUCCAACCUGCUGACACACCAGCGAAUUCACACUGAGGAGAGGCCGUUCUGCUGUACUUCCUGUGGAAAGAGAUUCAGGUCUUCAUUCCACCUCAAUGUACACCAGCGAGUUCACACAGGAGAGAGACCGUUCACCUGCUCUGAGUGUGGGAAGAAAUUCACUCAGUUAUCCCACCUGCUGAAUCACGAGCGAGUUCACACUGGGGAGAGGCCGUUCACCUGCCCCGAAUGUGGGAAGGGAUUCACUCGGUCAUCCCACCUGCUCAGGCACCAGCUGGUCCACAAGUGACACAAGGGGUUGGAUUCUACUGUGAUUGCAGCUGUUAAUCACAUCCAAGACUGAAGCAUGUUUAUCCUGAUAGUUGGUGUUUUUUUUCUGCUGGACUGGAGUCCUGAUCCAUAGUUGAUUGUGUUCUUGGGGCUGCAGUGUCCAUUUAAGAACCACUGUCUCUGAUCUUUCCCCAUAAAUCAGGAACUUUCAUCAGAAGUUUGUUUACAAGAUUCUGAACUUUUACUUCAAUCCCAAACUGAUCUUUGGUACGAACUGCACAAUUCAGUGUCUGAGAGGUUCUGAUCGAGUGGAUACAAAGAGAAUGUUUCCUCUUGUGGGGAAGAGCAUAACUAGAGACCAUCGAUGUAAGAUAGUCACCAAGAACUCCCAUAGGGAAUUCAAAAGAAACUUCUUCACCCAAAGAGCGGUGAGAAAGUGGAACUCGCUACCACUGGGAGUGGUUAAAGUGAAUCAUAUAGCUUUUGUUUCAUUGAAAGGGGUGCAAUGCACGGAUGUGUUUCUUUUUUGCAAAGGUCAGGGCCCUGUGUGUGAAUAUAUGUAGCUUCUAGCACGUGUAAGUGAGCCACACUGUGAGCCCAACUGAUCAUCUUAAAUUGGUUGUUCCUGUAUUUCUUAGCACAAUCAAGAUUGUUUAGUAAGUGUUGUCCAAUUGUGGAAUCACAUUUAAUAUUAUUUAAGGGGAAGUUAGAGAAGCACAAGAGGGCAAAGGGAAUAGAUGGUUACGAUGAUAAAUUUAGUUGGGGAAUGAUGGGAGGAGGCCCUUGUGGAGCUUAAACCCCAGCAUGGAUUGGCUGAGCCGAAUGGCCUGUCAUAUAUCUGAUGUAAUUACACUCCUGAAAGGUCUGGUUCUAACUUUUUGACUGUACCACCCAUACCUAGACUGCAUAACUAGUGGAAAUAAUUUCUAGUUACUCACUGUUCCCCUUAAUGUGCUCAAUUCGGCUUUUGCUGUCACUGUCAAUCACAUCCAGAACUGAACCAUGUUCAUUCUGAUAGUUGGGGUUUAUUUCUACUGAUGUUAAUAAUCUCUGUAACUGAGCUGGAGUUUAAUAUCUUGAUGUCUAUUAAAUAAAAGAGUUUUGUUUCAAACA